AUUGAACGCUGGCGGCAGGCCUAACACAUGCAAGUCGAGCGGAGCGGCGGACGGGUGCGUGAUGCCUAGGAAUCUGCCUGGUCGUGGGGGAUAACGUCCGGAAACGGACGCUAAUACCGCAUACUAGCAGUUGAGGCUAAGUCGGAUUAGCUAGUUGGUGGGGUAAAGGCCUACCAAGGCCACGAUCCGUAACUGGUCUGAGAGGAUGAGCAGUCACACUGGAACUGAGACACGGUCCAGACUCCUACGGGAGGCAGCAGUGGGGAAUAUUGGACAAUGGGCGAAAGCCUGAUCCAGCCAUGCCGCGUGUAUGAAGAAGGCCUUCGGGUUGUAAAGUACUUUCAGCGGGGAGGCGUUACCCGCAGAAGAAGCACCGGCUAACUCCGUGCCAGCAGCCGCGGUAAUAC
RNAcentral lists this ribosomal RNA (407 nucleotides) under uncultured bacterium. RNAcentral describes it as "partial 16S ribosomal RNA". It matches the Rfam family "Bacterial small subunit ribosomal RNA", at positions 30 to 526 of the family's 1533-position model. The record is from RNAcentral.